This 700-nucleotide ribosomal RNA is filed under the name Lacticaseibacillus paracasei. RNAcentral's name for it is "bacterial SSU rRNA". It matches the Rfam family "Bacterial small subunit ribosomal RNA", at positions 60 to 721 of the family's 1533-position model. Lineage: Bacteria; Bacillati; Bacillota; Bacilli; Lactobacillales; Lactobacillaceae. The record is from RNAcentral.
GGUCGGAACGAGUUCUCGUUGAUGAUCGGUGCUUGCACCGAGAUUCAACAUGGAACGAGUGGCGGACGGGUGAGUAACACGUGGGUAACCUGCCCUUAAGUGGGGGAUAACAUUUGGAAACAGAUGCUAAUACCGCAUAGAUCCAAGAACCGCAUGGUUCUUGGCUGAAAGAUGGCGUAAGCUAUCGCUUUUGGAUGGACCCGCGGCGUAUUAGCUAGUUGGUGAGGUAAUGGCUCACCAAGGCGAUGAUACGUAGCCGAACUGAGAGGUUGAUCGGCCACAUUGGGACUGAGACACGGCCCAAACUCCUACGGGAGGCAGCAGUAGGGAAUCUUCCACAAUGGACGCAAGUCUGAUGGAGCAACGCCGCGUGAGUGAAGAAGGCUUUCGGGUCGUAAAACUCUGUUGUUGGAGAAGAAUGGUCGGCAGAGUAACUGUUGUCGGCGUGACGGUAUCCAACCAGAAAGCCACGGCUAACUACGUGCCAGCAGCCGCGGUAAUACGUAGGUGGCAAGCGUUAUCCGGAUUUAUUGGGCGUAAAGCGAGCGCAGGCGGUUUUUUAAGUCUGAUGUGAAAGCCCUCGGCUUAACCGGAGGAAGCGCAUCGGAAACUGGGAAACUUGAGGUGCAGAAGAGGGACAGUGGAACUCCAUUGGUGUAAGGGCGGGGUGGAAAAUGCGGUUAAGAUUAUAUGGGAAAGA